GGCUCGGUGGUGGGUGGUCUACAUCUGCAUCAGCAUUGGAGGUCUACAUUGACACUUAUGCAGAAGGAGCCUGUUCGAUUCGGGCCCGAGCCA
Molecule: non-coding RNA, 93 nt
Organism: Mycena latifolia
Lineage: Eukaryota; Fungi; Basidiomycota; Agaricomycetes; Agaricales; Mycenaceae
Source: the annotation of a GenBank genome assembly